Molecule: ribosomal RNA, 301 nt
Filed under: uncultured bacterium
Lineage: Bacteria
Description: partial 16S ribosomal RNA
Rfam family: Bacterial small subunit ribosomal RNA
Source: RNAcentral
CAGUCGCCGCGGGAAUAUAGAGGAUGCAACCAUUAUCCGGAAUGAUUGGGCGUAAAGCGUCUGUAGGUGGCUUUUCAAGUCCGCCGUCAAAUCCCAGGGCUCAACCCUGGACAGGCGGUGGAAACUACCAAGCUGGAGUACGGUAGGGGCAGAGGGAAUUUCCGGUGGAGCGGUGAAAUGCGUAGAGAUGUGGAGGAACACCAGUGGCGAAGGCGACUCUCUGGUCUGUAACUGACGCUGAGGAGCGAAAGCGUGGGGAGCGAACAGGAUUAGAUACCCCUGUAGUCCCUGUCUCUUAUAC